Molecule: ribosomal RNA, 540 nt
Filed under: uncultured eukaryote
Lineage: Eukaryota
Description: SSU rRNA
Rfam family: Eukaryotic small subunit ribosomal RNA
Source: RNAcentral
CUCAUAGCGUAUAUUUAAGUUGUUGCAGUUAAAAAGCUCGUAGUCGGAUUUUGGCUGAGAACGGUCGGUCCGCCGUUAGGUGUGCACUGACUGGUCUCAGCUUCCUGGUGAGGAGGUGUGCUUCAUCGCCACUUAGUCACCGUGGUUACUUUGAAAAAAUUAGAGUGUUCAAAGCGGGCUUACGCUUGAAUAUAUUAGCAUGGAAUAACACCAUAGGACUCCUGUCCUAUUUCGUUGGUCUCGGGACGGGAGUAAUGAUUAAGAGGAACAGUUGGGGGCAUUCGUAUUUCAUUGUCAGAGGUGAAAUUCUUGGAUUUAUGAAAGACGAACUUCUGCGAAAGCAUUUGCCAAGGAUGUUUUCAUUGAUCAAGAACGAAAGUUGGGGGCUCGAAGAUGAUUAGAUACCAUCCUAGUCUCAACCAUAAACGAUGCCGACUAGGGAUUGGCGGAUGUUAAUUGAUGACUUCGCCAGCACCUUAUGAGAAAUCAAAGUUUUUGGGUUCCGGGGGGAGUAUGGUCGCAAGGCUGAUACUUAAAGGA